UUCACUAUCAUCCUUAGAAAAAAAGAAUUACGUAUCUUAGAGAUGAAAUAAAACUACUUCUCCGGGAAAAGGUAUCCAUAGUAAUAUUGUUAAUAUGUAGAAGAAAAAUCUAAAUAUAGGAUUUUUCUUUAUGUAUCAAUAUUAUGAAAUAAAGAAUAUUGUUUUGUACCCUCUUUUCUAAGUUUUAAAAUAGUUCCAAGUGAAGAUUGUGUUCAAAGUAGCCACAGACAAGAUGCUUGUAAAGACAAAAAUAAUGUUCAUUGCCCGAAGGAGAACAACUGUUGUGGUAAUAAGGCUAUUUUAAGGAGAGAAUAAGAGAGGUAUAUAUAGAAAAAUCUUUACUUCGUAAUAUUAGUAACAUAUAGUUAUAAUCUAUAUCAUCUUAUUAAUCUACAUAUAAGCAUACUACUUUAGAUACUAAGUACCUAUCGGGAGUUUAUCAUCUUGAUUAAUCAUACAGUACUGUUUAUAACAUUAUUUUUAUACUAUAAGUAUAAAUGAUAAAAGAUGAUGAUUGAAGCUCAAUAUCAUCUAAAGUUAGCCCUAAAAAGGUUAUGGAAAUAUCUAAUAGCCUUAAAUAAUCUUGAUGAAUUUAUCAUUGAGUUGGUAAAAGCCUACAAAACUGUAAAUCAACAUUUAUCUGUAUAGGAAGGAUUAUACAUAAAAUUCAAAUGAUUAGAGCACAAGAAUAUGUCUUGUAUCUAGAGGAUAAAAAUAAUAUUGAUAAAAAUAUUAUCUACACCACUUAAAUGAGCAGUAUAAAUUUCCUUCCGCAUAUUUACCCUAUAUAUAUAUAUAUACACAUACAUACAUACAUACAUACAUAUAUAUAUAUAUAUUAACUAAUCACCUGAAUCAUUUACAAAGCAAUCUAUACCACAUAGUUAGCUAAGUCUCACUGCUAGGACAACCACCCUAUCAAAAUACUACAACUAUCAACCCCAACAAACUAACAAAGUUGUCACUCUAAUGGUUGUACUACAUCUUUUGCAAAUUUGGAGCUCUAAAAUUAUAAGCAUAUGCAACAUUCUUAGUUAACCUGAAGUCAUCUACAAGAUUGGUGUUCAAAAAUUCUAAGCUUUCGCUCUUUCAAAUAGUGUGCUCAGUUUCAGCAACUACAAAUUGGAAUAUUUGGGCUAUUUAAGUAUUCCCCUUUUCACUCUUGUGUAUCAAUUGGAAAUAAAGGUCACAAUAUCCUCGUGUCAUCUUUUAUAUGCAUUCAAGUCAACACUUUAUGCCACAAUAGCCUCACAAAUAGAUACUAUAUACAAACAUGUAUUCUUUUGUUUCUCUUACAUGUUGAAAGAUGGAACAUAUGGGUUCAACCUUCACACCCCACUUGAUGAGCCUGACUUUGGUGAGCAACUUUGAUUGCAUAAGUAGCCACUAGUGAAUAUGGAUUUAGGUCUAGCAAGGUUGUCAACCAUCAAGCACUUUCAUGGCAUUCGAUCUAGCGCUCUCCCCAAUCAUUCCAAGAUAAAUUUAUUUUGUAAUACCUUAUUGUUUCUUUAUCAUGUGUUGCACUUGGUACCACUCUCUCCUAGCUUUCAAUAUUUUCCUUGUAAUCCAAUAAACUUGAGGAGGAAUAUUGAUAGCCUGCAGGUGAUGCUCCUUUAUGUAAUAAGUGUGUAUCCACGUGGUCUUCAUCUUAUCUUCUUUAUUUGUAAGAUCACAUAAUGUUUUUGUUAAGACAAUGUUGUUUCAUAGCUUUAAGUUUAUGAUGUUUAUUUAUCCCUUUUGCAGACUUGGGUAAACAUAUCCUAUCUCAAGCAACUAAAACUUUCUUGUUGUAUUUACUCCAAUCCAUUUUACCACCCUAUAAGGUGGAAAGAACAAUCGAGACCAAUUAAAUUGAGUACCAAACACUAUUAUUUGCAUUACCUGAAUUCUGUCUGCAUAAGAUAACUUCUUAGCUGUCUAUAAAGAAAUUCACUUCAUAAUCUUCCCAUAAGUGGUUGCCACUAGAUCAUAGUCAAUUUCUUAAUGAUAUUGGAACAUCUAAAUACUUAAAAGGUAAUUUUGUGUACCAACUUAUGCUAGCAUCCAUAUUCUUUUGUACCAUUGAAGAAUUCGACUGGCUAUCCUCCUACUUUGGGACCUGGUCCCAAACAAACAUAAACACCAAGAAUUUAAAUAGAAGAGUAUGUAACAGUAAAUAAACAAGGAACAUAGCAAAUUUUAGGUGGAAACUCCUUGCUUAAGGGAGAAAAACUUCGACCUGCCUUAAGGAUUUCCAACAGCUCCACUAAUAUUCAAGAAACCUUGAAUAUAGGCUCCAUGACAUCAAUGAUUAAACUCCUAAUUCUUCAUCAAAUAUUAAUACCUCUAUUACAAUGAACUCAAUGCAAUAACUCUAUUGCACACUGACCCAACUAACUCUAACUGAAUCACAAAGCUAACUCUAGAUUUUGUCAACUAAAUCUACAUAACAUUUUACCAAAAUAAUAAAAAGGAAAGCACCUAAUGAUAAUGAACUUAAAGUAGUACGCAAUGUUUCUAGACUCAAAAAUGAAGACUCAAGACAACAAGAGUUCUAAGGGACUGGCAAUGACUAAGUAGGUCCCUUAUUGUUGAUAAGCUUUUGAAUCAGCAAAGCUUCAACAGAUUUGAUGUGUUUUGGGAUAUGGAUGCAUUAAGUUUUUUUAUUGUUGAAAUGAGCAUUUAUAAGAGACAAGAAAACCUAGGAUUAAUCUUAUUGGUUGAGACAAAAAGGGUACAAGGCUUUUCAUCAACUUUUCUACGGUGUACUAUGUCCAUCUAUAGUACUGACCAAUGUCAAUGACGUGAAAUACGGUCAACUAGGUCCUUAAGUAGUUGUCGCUUUUGUCAUCACAAGAUCUUCAAGAACCAGGUCCCAAGGGAUAAUUUGUCAAUCAUCAAACUAAUGACUACACAGACUAUACCCCUCAUCUACACAUUAUACCCCUUAUCUUCCCUCUUUUGGAAUCAUAAAAGUCCUAAAAUAGUGAACCAAGUAGAGAUAAGCACACAUGUUAGCACAUGGACAUGGAGGCUACACUGACAUGAGCACAAAAAAUAAGAGAAAGUAAGAGAGAUGAUAACACAAAGCAGAUUCAUUCAUUUUUCAUAGAGGAUAGCAUCAUACAAAAUUUAAAAAAGAUAAUAGCAUUAAAAAACAAAAAUAGUAGUGUCAACACAACAAGAAAAAAACUUAAGGAGGCCAGACUUGGCGAGGCUUAAAAGGGGAAAAAACUGAGGACUCGAUUAGGGAGACACCUAGGAGGAAUGACCGAAAGGAGUUUGGGACAAUUAGUGAAGAAGCAUGGUUAUUCUCUCACUUUCUGGAAUAUGAGUCUUUAGGAGUUGUUGAGUUAAAUCCUUGAUAUUUGCAGUCGAAACCUCAACUUUUGCCUCCAAUUUCUUUAGAUUCUCAUACAAUUCUGCAUUUUCAGCACUUAAUUCUCUAUUGAACCUAGUCCCUCAUCGCUCCUUUUCACUAAGGAUGCCUUCAGAGAAAAAAAUUCUAUAUUUUUUUGUGCUACAAUGGCUUCCAUCUCAUCCAAUUAUUCCCCCAUCCCAGUUUGAACAUCAAUAAGCUCGACAACUAUGGAUUUGGAUUUCCCUUCACCUCUGCUAGGGAUGCAUUCAUUAUCAUCCAUGGUUGUUACAUUGAACACUUGAUUUACUGAACCUGUCUUUCAAAGGCCACACUAAUGUUAAAGUACAAACAGAUUUGGUUAAUCCAAAACACAUAGUUCAAUCCAUGUUUUCUAUCUUUUAUUGUCAUCACUGUGUUUAUAUGCUCAAUCACAGUAGCUAGGAAAUUUACCUUUUGAUAUUUGUACAUGGCCUUCAUAAAUGUAAUACCCCGACUUCCUUUAAGUCAAAUCUAGUCUCCAGAAGAGUUACUGAUGACAUCCUAAAUGAUUAAUAUUUAAAUCAGAUAGAAUUUCCCCAUUCCAUCAAAAUCUGACAUGGGAAUUUGAAUAAGCUUUCCAUCGAUACCCAUUCCGUCAAAAUCCAACGUAGAAAGAGAAAUUUAUGGCCAAAAUACAGAAAUCAGUCAAAACUGCCCAGGUGUGACGGUAGAGGCCGACGGACCAUCAAGCUAGCGAUGGACCGUCGCCCAAGCUAUCGCAGUGAAG
This 4106-nucleotide long non-coding RNA is filed under the name Capsicum annuum. RNAcentral's name for it is "long non-coding RNA (CANN_LNC015234)". Lineage: Eukaryota; Viridiplantae; Streptophyta; Magnoliopsida; Solanales; Solanaceae. The record is from RNAcentral.